This 549-nucleotide ribosomal RNA is filed under the name uncultured bacterium. RNAcentral describes it as "bacterial SSU rRNA". It matches the Rfam family "Bacterial small subunit ribosomal RNA", at positions 55 to 597 of the family's 1533-position model. The record is from RNAcentral.
AUGCAAGUCGAGCGGUAACAGGUGUAGCAAUACAUGCUGACGAGCGGCGAACGGGUGAGUAAUGCUUCGGAAUCUGCCCAAUGGUGGGGAAUAACCAGCCGAAAGGUUGGCUAAUACCGCAUAAGUCCUACGGGGGAAAGCAGGGGAUCGCAAGACCUUGCGCCGAUGGAUGAGCCGAAGUCGGAUUAGCUAGUUGGUAGGGUAACGGCCUACCAAGGCGACGAUCCGUAGCUGGUCUGAGAGGACGACCAGCCACACUGGGACUGAGACACGGCCCAGACUCCUACGGGAGGCAGCAGUGGGGAAUAUUGGACAAUGGGGGAAACCCUGAUCCAGCGACGCCGCGUGUGUGAAGAAGGCCUGCGGGUUGUAAAGCACUUUUAGUGGGGAUGAAAAGCUCAGGGCUAACACCUCUGGGUCUUGACCUAACCCAAAGAAAAAGCACCGGCUAACUCUGUGCCAGCAGCCGCGGUAAUACAGAGGGUGCGAGCGUUAAUCGGAAUUACUGGGCGUAAAGCGUGCGUAGACGGUUAUGUAAGUCGGGUGUGA